Molecule: ribosomal RNA, 448 nt
Filed under: uncultured bacterium
Lineage: Bacteria
Description: bacterial SSU rRNA
Rfam family: Bacterial small subunit ribosomal RNA
Source: RNAcentral
UGGGGAAUCUUGGACAAUGGGCGAAAGCCUGAUCCAGCCAUGCCGCGUGAGUGACGAAGGUCUUCGGAUUGUAAAGCUCUUUUUGGCGGGGACGAUAAUGACGGUACCCGCAGAAUAAGCCCCGGCUAACUUCGUGCCAGCAGCCGCGGUAAUACGAAGGGGGCUAGCGUUGUUCGGAAUUACUGGGCGUAAAGCGCACGUAGGCGGAUUUGUAAGUCAGGGGUGAAAUCCCGGGGCUCAACCUCGGAACUGCCCUUGAUACUGCAAAUCUCGAGUCCGAUAGAGGUGAGUGGAAUUCCUAGUGUAGAGGUGAAAUUCGUAGAUAUUAGGAAGAACACCAGUGGCGAAGGCGGCUCACUGGAUCGGUACUGACGCUGAGGUGCGAAAGCGUGGGGAGCAAACAGGAUUAGAUACCCGCGUAGUCCCUGAGCGGGCUGGCAAGGCGCAU